Molecule: ribosomal RNA, 524 nt
Filed under: uncultured bacterium
Lineage: Bacteria
Description: partial 16S ribosomal RNA
Rfam family: Bacterial small subunit ribosomal RNA
Source: RNAcentral
GACGAACGCUGGCGGCGUGCCUAAUACAUGCAAGUCGAGCGCAGGAAGCCGUCUGAACCCUUUGGGGGGACGACGGCGGAAUGAGCGGCGGACGGGUGAGUAACACGUAAAGAACCUGCCCAUAGGUCUGGGAUAACCACGAGAAAUCGGGGCUAAUACCGGAUGUGUCAUCGGACCGCAUGGUCCGCUGAUGAGAGGCGCUCCGGCGGUGCCCAUGGAUGGCUUUGCGGUGCAUUAGCUAGUUGGGGGGGUAACGGCCCACCAAGGCGACGAUGCAUAGCCGACCUGAGAGGGUGAUCGGCCACACUGGGACUGAGACACGGCCCAGACUCCUACGGGAGGCAGCAGUAGGGAAUCUUCCACAAUGGACGAAAGUCUGAUGGAGCAACGCCGCGUGAACGAUGAAGGCUUUCGGGUCGUAAAGUUCUGUUGUAAGGGAAGAACAAGUGCCGCAGGCAAUGGCGGCACCUUGACGGUACCUUGCGAGAAAGCCACGGCUAACUACGUGCCAGCAGCCGCCGUAA